This 261-nucleotide ribosomal RNA is filed under the name uncultured bacterium. Its description in RNAcentral is "partial 16S ribosomal RNA". It matches the Rfam family "Bacterial small subunit ribosomal RNA", at positions 524 to 783 of the family's 1533-position model. The record is from RNAcentral.
UACGGAGGGUGCGAGCGUUGUCCGGAAUCACUGGGCGUAAAGGGCGCGUAGGCGGCGGAGAAAGUCAACGGUGAAAGCUCGGGGCUUAACCCCGAGUCGGCCGUCGAUACUUCUCUGCUUGAGCACUGUAGAGGCAGGUGGAAUUCCGGGUGUAGCGGUGGAAUGCGUAGAGAUCCGGAAGAACACCGGUGCGAAGGCGGGUCUGCUGGGGUAAUGCUGGACACUGAUGCGCGACAGCGUGGGGAGCAAACAGGAGUAGAA